AUUUUUAUAGUUGAAUACAACAAUAACUUUUCGAGUUAUAAGUUUGGGUUAAACUCCCAAUAAAAAUC
Molecule: transfer RNA, 68 nt
Filed under: Stegnaster inflatus
Lineage: Eukaryota; Metazoa; Echinodermata; Asteroidea; Valvatida; Asterinidae
Description: tRNA-Glu
Rfam family: tRNA
About the family: Transfer RNA (tRNA) molecules are approximately 80 nucleotides in length.
Source: RNAcentral